This 893-nucleotide ribosomal RNA is filed under the name uncultured Bacillota bacterium. RNAcentral's name for it is "bacterial SSU rRNA". It matches the Rfam family "Bacterial small subunit ribosomal RNA", at positions 28 to 897 of the family's 1533-position model. The record is from RNAcentral. Lineage: Bacteria; Bacillati; Bacillota.
GACGAACGCUGGCGGCGUGCCUAAGACAUGCAAGUCGAGCGGGGCUUCGGGGCUUCGGCCCUGAAGCCCAGCGGCGGACGGGUGAGUAACACGUGGAUAACCUGCCCUCUGCUCUGGGAUAACAGGCCGAAAGGCCUGCUAAUACCGGAUAAGCUCACGGCCCCGCAUGGGGCUGGGAGAAAAGGCGCUGGAGUCAGUGGCGCUGGCAGAGGAGGGGUCCGCGGCCCAUUAGCUGGUUGGCGGGGUAACGGCCCACCAAGGCGACGAUGGGUAGCCGGCCUGAGAGGGCGACCGGCCACACUGGGACUGAGACACGGCCCAGACUCCUACGGGAGGCAGCAGUCGGGAAUUUUGCACAAUGGCCGAAAGGCUGAUGCAGCAACGCCGCGUGAGCGAAGAAGGCCUUCGGGUUGUAAAGCUCUGUUGCCUGCGAAGAAGGGCCCCGUCAGGAAAUGGGCGGGGUUUGACGGUAGCAGGCGAGGAAGCCCCGGCAAACUACGUGCCAGCAGCCGCGGUAAUACGUAGGGGGCGAGCGUUGUCCGGAAUUACUGGGCGUAAAGGGCGUGUAGGCGGCCUGUUAAGUCGGGGGUGAAAGACCGGGGCUCAACCCCGGGGGUGCCUCUGAAACUGGCGGGCUUGAGUGCUCUAGAGGGCAGUGGAAUUCCCGGUGUAGCAGUGAAAUGCGUAGAGAUCGGGAGGAACACCAGUGGCGAAGGCGGCUGCCUGGGGAGUCACUGACGCUGAGGCGCGAAAGCUAGGGGAGCAAACAGGAUUAGAUACCCUGGUAGUCCUAGCCGUAAACGAUGAGUGCUAUGUGUGAGGGGUAUCGACCCCCCUCGUGCAGGAACUAACGCACUAAGCACUCCGCCUGGGGAGUACGGCCGCAAGGUUGA